UUCUGGACAAUACUGACGCUGAGAUGCGAAGCGUGGGGAGCAAACAGGAUUAGAUACCUGGUAGUCACGCUGUAAACGAUGUCGAUUUGGAGUUUGGGGGCAUGACCCUUGGGCUCCGGAGCUAACGCGUUAAAUCGACCGCUGGGGAGUACGGCCGCAAGGUUAAAACUCAAAUGAAUUGACGGGGGCCCGCACAAGCGGUGGAGCAUGUGGUUUAAUUCGAUGCAACGCGAAGAACCUUACCUGGUCUUGACAUCCAUAGAAUCUUGUAGAGAUACGAGAGUGCCUUCGGGAGCUAUGAGACAGGUGCUGCAUGGCUGUCGUCAGCUCGUGUUGUGAAAUGUUGGGUUAAGUCCCGCAACGAGCGCAACCCUUAUCCUUUGUUGCCAGCGGGUAAAGCCGGGAACUCAAAGGAGACUGCCGUUGAUAAAGCGGAGGAAGGUGGGGACGACGUCAAGUCAUCAUGGCCCUUACGACCAGGGCUACACACGUGCUACAAUGGCGUAUACAAAGGGAAGCGAAGGUGCGAACUGGAGCGGACCUCCUAAAGUACGUCUAAGUCCGGAUUGGAGUCUGCAACUCGACUCCAUGAAGUCGGAAUCGCUAGUAAUCGUGAAUCAGAAUGUCACGGUGAAUACGUUCCCGGGCCUUGUACACACCGCCCGUCACACCAUGGGAGUGGGUUGCACCAGAAGUAGAUAGCUUAACCGAAAGGAGGGCGUUUACCACGGUGUGAUUCAUGACUGGGGUGAAGUCGUAACAAGGUAACCA
This 771-nucleotide ribosomal RNA is filed under the name uncultured Enterobacteriaceae bacterium. RNAcentral describes it as "bacterial SSU rRNA". It matches the Rfam family "Bacterial small subunit ribosomal RNA", at positions 727 to 1502 of the family's 1533-position model. Lineage: Bacteria; Pseudomonadati; Pseudomonadota; Gammaproteobacteria; Enterobacterales; Enterobacteriaceae. The record is from RNAcentral.